RNAcentral lists this ribosomal RNA (452 nucleotides) under uncultured bacterium. RNAcentral's name for it is "bacterial SSU rRNA". It matches the Rfam family "Bacterial small subunit ribosomal RNA", at positions 29 to 526 of the family's 1533-position model. The record is from RNAcentral.
AACGAACGCUGGCGGCAGGCCUAACACAUGCAAGUCGAACGCUCCAGCAAUGGAGAGUGGCAGACGGGUGAGUAACGCGUGGGAACCUUCCCAGUGGUACGGAAUAGCCCAGGGAAACUUGGGGUAAUACCGUAUAAGCCCUUCGGGGGAAAGAUUUAUCGCCAUUGGAUGGGCCCGCGUCGGAUUAGCUUGUUGGUGAGGUAAAAGCUCACCAAGGCGACGAUCCGUAGCUGGUCUGAGAGGAUGAUCAGCCACACUGGGACUGAGACACGGCCCAGACUCCUACGGGAGGCAGCAGUGGGGAAUAUUGGACAAUGGGCGCAAGCCUGAUCCAGCCAUGCCGCGUGAGUGACGAAGGCCCUAGGGUUGUAAAGCUCUUUUGGCGGGGACGAUAAUGACGGUACCCGCAGAAUAAGCUCCGGCUAACUUCGUGCCAGCCGCCGCCGUAACAC